This is a long non-coding RNA of Triticum aestivum (bread wheat), 2831 nucleotides long. RefSeq lists it as uncharacterized. The record is from RefSeq and is a predicted model, not a curated record. The transcript has 7 exons. NCBI's taxonomy places the organism in Eukaryota, Viridiplantae, Streptophyta, Magnoliopsida, Poales, Poaceae.
CUUCGACUGGCUCAACCUCCACGGCACGGCGUAGCCGCGCAGGCUACAGUCCGCCCAAGCGCCGGGAUGUGCAAGGCGUUCUGGGGCGUGUGUACGCCGACUAAUAUUGGUGAAGAUAAAGCUGCCGAUGUGGUGCUCACUGCUCACCUCGGAUGCAAUUCAAAAUUAUGUUGAUUUAUGUUCCUCUGUGUUACAGUUUAUUCUGGUUUUUAGAAAUACUAAUGUUUUUUCAGUAAGGACAGUGGCUAUUCUUAUUUUGACAUAGAGUGUGGUAGAUGAACAUGUCUUCAUUUCAGGUUGAAGGCAUUCCAAAUUCACUUAUAAUAGAAGCUCAAUAAUGCACUUAGUCUACCACCAAAUUCAAAUUAUUGAAAGAUCAAUCCAACAUUAAUUUGCCUCAGAUACAGUCUGGUGCAUUUUCCUUAACAUGACACUCUUUUUAGAGUGAUAACCUUCAUUUCAGGUUGACGGCAUUUCAAAGAAACUUCAAGAUUGCAAGAUAAUGAAAGCGUAAUUAUAUAUUUUUUGCAGUGGCAAGAUGAAAUUGUAUAAAAGAGACAAAGAAGAGCUGCUUCAUGUCCUUAAUCAUCGGUGCCCUUCUCCAGCGACCAACGUAUAUUCAUGCAUGAUGCUAAUGUGUGGAGACUAUGCCAGUGGAGAGACCAACGACAAUUACCUUGAGAUAGUGGGAUGUGCAUGGAAGGAGCGACUAACUAUGUAGAGGAAAGCUGCGCUCGCCGGCACCAGUCAGGGGCCUAAAUGAUUGAGGAGUGAAAUUAGAUCAUGGCCUUUCAUGUUUGAAGGGAUAUAGUAUUACGAUAACUCUCAAAAAUCAAUAUUGUAUAAUGACAGAAGUUAAUAAUCUAAAUCAGCAGGAGCAAGCUUUGGAUGAGUGUAUAUACUAGCGAGAUGUGCGGAAAGCUAAGCGGGUUAAUGGAAGAUGAGAAUGGUCGAAGGUAAUCAGAAUUCUCCGGUUAGUUAUAAGAUGCUCUUUGGGUGUGGUGUCUUUCAUAAAGUUUGAAGAUUAUUGAACAACUAAAAGUCAUUUUGUCCUUUUCAAAAAAAGUCAUUUUGUCUAUUUGAUGGUUAUAUCUCUGACAAGAGACCCCAUCUUGUCCUUAGUACCCAAUUUGUCAAUAUGUGUGCUUUAUGAUAAUUUUUUUGUUUGUUAGUAUUAGAAAGAGUGUCACAUAUCUAGGAUACUUGUGGAGCCAUUGGUUGGUACAUACGAUUUGAGGAUUACCAGAUAACAGUCUUAAUUGUCAAAAAGUUUUUUACAUUAACAUUUAAUGUUCUUGAUGUAUUAUCAGAAAUGAGCAAUGUCUAAUCAUUGGGUGACAACUAAUGCACUAGCUUUGUUUUAGUUUUGUGUAACAAUGGUCUCAGCUUAGGGAGUCAGAUAUUAACAUAUAAAGCAUAACAUGAUCACACCGCAAUUUGCAAAAUAUUCACUCUGUAAGGAAGUGAAAUACCUUCUCAUUAUAUGUGAUGUUCUCCAGUCCUAAGUAUGUGUUUUGUCUGAGCUGAAGUUUAUUUCUUUACACUCAAUUGCCCGUAUUUAUUGGUUAUUAUUUUCUCGAUUCACCAACGGUGACAGCAGAGUUGCGGUGACGGUGUCAACCAUGAUGUUAUAGGGAGAUGCACUACUGGAUGCCAUUCUAUUUGCUCCAUGUGGAAUUUGGUAAAAUUGAUUCAUGUUUUAAAUUCAAAAGUUAUGUUCUUUCAGGUUGUAAACUGCAUCCUAUAGUUAUUCAUGCAUUUUUGUCUACGCGAUGACACGUAUAAAACGCAUUGUCAAUGUUUAGAUGAUGGUGGUAUAAGAAGAAAAUAAACUGCUGUCUUUUAUCCUCGACAAGAUAUUUUGGGUCCUCUUUCUGUGCUAGCAUCUUUUCUUUUGGAAUGGGAUAGUUAAUGGUGCUCUUAUAAAAAAUUUGUUGUCUCCCUUCAUUCCGAAAUAUAAGCCCUUUUAGAGAUUUCAAUAAGGACUACAUACGGAUGUAUAAGCUUCAUAUGUAGUCCAUAUUGGAAUCUCUAGAAAGGCUUAUAUUUAGGAACGGAGGGAGUACAAGAAAAACAACUGCGGCCACCUUUUUUUAGUUACUCUAUUCCAAGGUUGGUACUGGAAGAUUUCAGAAGGAAAAUGAAUGCAAAACAAACUAUGGAGAAAGUAAUAUGUGCAAUAUACCAAACUGGAGGAAGAAAUACAAAUCAAGAUAAGAACAUUACAUCAGUGGUGGUUUGAAAGAGGCAAAAGCAGGGAGGAAGGAGAAGAGAAUUACUGGAAAAAAACGAAAUGGAAAUGACCUGAAGGAGGAACUUUGAAGGUAAACUGUGAUGGGCUUUCUUUUCUGGAAAUAGUAAUGGUGGCUGGGGAUCUAUCAUUAGAGACGAUCAAAGAGAUGAUAUCGUAUGUACGAUGGGUAAAACUCUGAAUAUACUACGUCACUUGCAUGUUGAGAUUGUGGCGGCUCACGAAUGAGCACAAUUAGUUGUGACUGCUAAGUAAAGUUGAGGUAUAAGCAAUAUUAGUUUUGAGACUAGCGGGUGUGGAACAUGAAGGGAAAGAUCUCUCUUGAGGUCUGCAUUACUAUGCUGGAUCUGAAGGAGUUUCUCUACUAAAACUUCUACAGUUUUAAAACUUGUGUACUCCAGUAGAGAUUGUAAUAAAGUAGCACAUUCCCUAACCGCCCUGGGUUGUAGUUUAAAUAUAGAAGCAAGCAUUGUAAUGGACCAUGAUGUAUCUGUUGUAAUUGAACAAGUGUCAUGCCACUUAGUUGUGACGUAUAUGUAAUGCAACUGUCUGCAAAUUUUUUUCUUGUGUUUAACUUGUA